AACCAAACCAUUCCCUUUCGCUCUUUAACCAAAAUCCAAUCUUUGAACACAAACCAAGCCUAUUACGUGGGUUUUCCGGGAAAGCAAUUGGAUUUUUGUUUGAAAGGAAGUUAAGGGUCGUGUGAGUGCAAAAGAGGAUGGCGUUGAUGAAGCUGAGGAGGAAAGUAGAGGGGAGAGUACCAUGCCGGAGCGGUUUAGGUACUUGACCGAAGAAGCUCCUGACCCUCCUGUGAAGUUGGCAUGGUUUCUGGGUGAAUUGGUGUGGUAAACGGUAGCAACAAGCAAACGGCUGGAUGCAAGAGGCAUCGAAAAGAGAGAGAUGGACAACAGACAUGUAUAAAAGAGUUCAUGAGGCGAUCCAAGUAAAAGUGGAAGUUCAUGCAGUUCAGACGAGUCAAGUCCAUCGAAAAAUCCCAAAAAACGCAUGAAGAAAUUGGCAUAGGCAGUUAAUGAGGAAAAGACCGGUGACACUGAAAUUACCAUAAGAGGUGAUUGCCAAGAAGAUGGAAAGAAUGGAAGCUUCGUAACAGUUCUGGUGAAGUUCCCAUUAUCAUUUCAAUGGCCGGCCGGGCAAAAGAGUUCAAACAGACUGUUGGAAAGCUGUCAAAUGAAAAGGUUUUAGCAAUCAGCGAUAUGGGAUUUGGUAAUAUUUUCUUGUUCCGGUGCAGCAAAUUGAACCUCCACCUUUGCCAAAUGUUGGUCGACAAUUUUGAUGUAGGCAUGAAGAUUCAUGGGAGGCACUUGAUGAUCAGCCAUGAGGAUUUUAAGGGGGUAAUGAAUGUAAGGGAUGAGACUUGUGAAGUAGAACUAGCUGGUUGCUUGGAUGAUGCAGAUAUCGUGCAACUGAAGAGCAUGAUAUGUGGAAGUGAUAGUGAAAUCAGUAUUGACCGCUUGUGGAAGUGAUACCACUUUAUUAACCUACUAUUAUUUCUAUCAACAUCUGCACUCCAUAUAUUCAACCAAAGUUGAAAACAUUCCAAUCCAUAUAUCAUGAACAACCAGAGUCAGAGUCGUAAAGGAAGAUGAUAAAUCAUAUUUAUUCCAGAAUGAUUGGCAACAUAGGCCAUGACUUCAGCUAUUGUAAUCCUUCAUGUUGGGUUACUUAAAUAAUUUUCUUUUAA
Molecule: long non-coding RNA, 1121 nt
Organism: Rosa chinensis
Lineage: Eukaryota; Viridiplantae; Streptophyta; Magnoliopsida; Rosales; Rosaceae
Exons: 4
Source: RefSeq, a predicted model, not a curated record